RNAcentral lists this transfer RNA (82 nucleotides) under Acidobacteriota bacterium. RNAcentral describes it as "Acidobacteria bacterium tRNA-Leu". It matches the Rfam family "tRNA". Rfam says of the family: Transfer RNA (tRNA) molecules are approximately 80 nucleotides in length. Their secondary structure includes four short double-helical elements and three loops (D, anti-codon, and T loops). RNAcentral also lists the same sequence under 1 other name. Lineage: Bacteria; Pseudomonadati; Acidobacteriota. The record is from RNAcentral.
GCGAAAGUGGCGGAAUUGGCAGACGCGCGGCGCUUAGGACGCCGUCCCGCAAGGGGUGGGGGUUCGAGUCCCCCCUUUCGCA